RNAcentral lists this ribosomal RNA (1346 nucleotides) under uncultured bacterium. Its description in RNAcentral is "bacterial SSU rRNA". It matches the Rfam family "Bacterial small subunit ribosomal RNA", at positions 28 to 1381 of the family's 1533-position model. The record is from RNAcentral.
GACGAACGUUGGCGGCGUGCUUAACUCAUGCAAGUCGAACGGAAAGGCCCUGCUUUUGUGGGGUGCUCGAGUGGCGAACGGGUGAGUAACACGUGAGUAACCUGCCCUUGACUUUGGGAUAACUUCAGGAAACUGGGGCUAAUACCGGAUAGGAGCUCCUGCUGCAUGGUGGGGGUUGGAAAGUUUCGGCGGUUGGGGAUGGACUCGCGGCUUAUCAGCUUGUUGGUGGGGUAGUGGCUUACCAAGGCUUUGACGGGUAGCCGGCCUGAGAGGGUGACCGGCCACAUUGGGACUGAGAUACGGCCCAGACUCCUACGGGAGGCAGCAGUGGGGAAUAUUGCACAAUGGGCGGAAGCCUGAUGCAGCAACGCCGCGUGCGGGAUGACGGCCUUCGGGUUGUAAACCGCUUUCGCCUGUGACGAAGCGUGAGUGACGGUAAUGGGUAAAGAAGCACCGGCUAACUACGUGCCAGCAGCCGCGGUGAUACGUAGGGUGCGAGCGUUGUCCGGAUUUAUUGGGCGUAAAGGGCUCGUAGGUGGUUGAUCGCGUCGGAAGUGUAAUCUUGGGGCUUAACCCUGAGCGUGCUUUCGAUACGGGUUGACUUGAGGAAGGUAGGGGAGAAUGGAAUUCCUGGCGGAGCGGUGGAAUGCGCAGAUAUCAGGAGGAACACCAGUGGCGAAGGCGGUUCUCUGGGCCUUUCCUGACGCUGAGGAGCGAAAGCGUGGGGAGCGAACAGGCUUAGAUACCCUGGUAGUCCACGCUGUAAACGGUGGGUACUAGGUGUGGGGUCCAUUCCACGGGUUCCGUGCCGUAGCUAACGCUUUAAGUACCCCGCCUGGGGAGUACGGCCGCAAGGCUAAAACUCAAAGGAAUUGACGGGGCCCCGCACAAGCGGCGGAGCAUGCGGAUUAAUUCGAUGCAACGCGUAGAACCUUACCUGGGUUUGACAUGGAUCGGGAGUGCUCAGAGAUGGGUGUGCCUCUUUUGGGGUCGGUUCACAGGUGGUGCAUGCCUGUCGUCAGCUCGUGUCGUGAGAUGUUGGGUUAAGUCCCGCAACGAGCGCAACCCUUGUUCACUGUUGCCAGCACGUUAUGGUGGGGACUCAGUGGAGACCGCCGGGGUCAACUCGGAGGAAGGUGGGGAUGACGUCAAGUCAUCAUGCCCCUUAUGUCCAGGGCUUCACGCAUGCUACAAUGGCUGGUACAGAGAGUGGCGAGCCUGUGAGGGUGAGCGAAUCUCGGAAAGCCGGUCUCAGUUCGGAUUGGGGUCUGCAACUCGACCUCGUGAAGUCGGAGUCGCUAGUAAUCGCAGAUCAGCAACGCUGCGGUGAAUACGUUCCCGGGGCU